RNA transcript from Diprion similis, 2432 nucleotides. RefSeq lists it as uncharacterized. The transcript is spliced from 4 exons. The record is from RefSeq and is a predicted model, not a curated record. NCBI's taxonomy places the organism in Eukaryota, Metazoa, Arthropoda, Insecta, Hymenoptera, Diprionidae.
UGAACGAACACAAAGUUAACAAACUACCUGCCGGAUCCCUGAAAUCAUGUGGAAAUAGGAUUAUUUGCAGUAGAAAACAAAGUAUAGAAAAUAACGAUGCAGGCGAAGGAGCUGUGCAGCAUAUCAGUGUCACCGUUAGUUACAGCACCUUUUUCUGUCCAAUGGUCUGCAGAUAACCACAUAUCCAUUCUUACUGAAAAAGGAGUGCACGUAUUUGAGUUGAUACCCGCUCCAGCAUCUGUGUACCCAACCUUCAAUUUUUCACGUUCAUUUAUUCACCCUUCAGAAGUAUUGCCGACACAAUCAUUGAAUGAAGAAGUUGACAGAGUAUUAUGGAAGUUGGAACGAGUGGAAUUUUACCUAUUUUUAAUGGAAGAAGCCAUAACGCCAAGUAUAAAUGGGGCAAGAGACAUGGAGCCACGAGUGUUAAGCUUGAGCUGGUCCCCUUGGCGCUUGACGAGUCCCUAUAAAUGCCUGUUAGCCACCGUCACAUCAGCCGGAGCUGUUGACAUUCUUGUAAAAGUAUCAAGGAACUGGUUUUCCGCCUGCGAUCUUUCAGCUGCUUGGAUCGCUAGUAUUCAUGGUGAAUCCAAUGCCCAAGUUAGGGCCAAGCUGAAGACGGCCCCACCUGCUGAGCUGAGAGAUCACCUUAGGCGUUUGCAAGCUACUGCAAUUUGUUGGAGUGAAUUAUAUGAAUCAGGAAAGAAAUGCUUCGCUUAUUUGGUUGUCGGAUAUCGUAACUCAGAAAUAGUUGUAUGGCGUGUCUCCGAGCUCCGUCACAACUAUGAAGAGUUCAAACCCUCCAUUGCCUUCCAGAAGAUUAUGCGCUACAACGCAAGGAUUAAUUUACUAAAAUGGAUUCAACUGGAAAAAGAAGUACUUAUUGUUCUGGGGUACUCAGAUGGUCAAGUUGAUGCAGUUUUACUUGAUGACAUUCAUGAUAAAUCCAGAAAUUGUACAGUAAUCAAAUACUGGUCUGAUGCAGAUCGCACUCCUGUUAGCUGCAUCGAAGUUUGGAAUAGUGCGGAACAUGGGAUGCUAGUUUUAAUUUGUAAGGGUUCUUAUUUGAGUGUGUUGCGACCAUCCCAUAACGGCAGUAUUGCAGAUACACAUGUUAUCCAUAUCAGAGGAUAUUCUAUAACAGGUGUGGUUGAAGCAAGCGAUAGAGUAUUACUAAUCACAACGCAAGAUGGUUGCUUAUUUGCAGUUACUUUUGAGGGUGAAAAUUUGGUCUACAUCGAUGUUAAUAACAAUUUACCAUCAGCUCGUGUUCAGUACUUGGGCCUCUCAUGUUCGUACAACAAAUCUUUAUUUUUCAAUGUAACCAGUCCAGACAUUAUGCAUGAUCAUUUGAUCAACCGAGAACCAAGCACACUGUGUAUAUUUACAAUGGAAGGACAUCCAAAAUGGAAUGCUCGUGAUGUGCUGAUGAAGAAUGAAAGCAGAUCAAUAAUGAGAUAUUGGGAUUGUCUGGAAUCGAUCAGAGUUCAAGUUCUUAAAUCCCAAGAUCCUCCUGACAUGUUACUUUCAGCUCCUGAAAACUUGGACAAAUUAUCUGACUACCACCUGCGUAUCGCUAUGUGGACUUCUAUGAUAGCGGAAUCUUAUGAGAAGAAAAAAUUUCCACGAAGAAUUGCGGGAACUAUAGAAGAAAUGUCCGAUGCUCAUCCCUUAAUUUUCUUGCGCUUGGCGGCCAGACGCCUCACGGAAUUAGGGUCUAAAAAAGAUUUGUCGACGAUGCAAUAUCGUUGCGCCAGUCUACUGCGCUCGUAUAUCGAGGUCUAUUUGGCUGGAGAAGAAGCAGAUGAAGAGGAAGGAGGGGUUGAAACUCUAUCUGUUCAAAACGCAAAGAAAGCUUUGAGCUUUACAGAACAUCUGAGUCGAAUGGAACUUGAACUUUGCGAUAUAUGUGGUGAAAUAAUAACAGAUAUUUCUUGGAAAGCAACCAGCUGCCCAUCGGGCCAUAAACUUCCUAGAUGUGCUAUAACUCUGCUCCAAGUAUCUACAAUAACCUAUCGAAGUUGCCCAAUUUGUGCGCAAAUACUCCAUCCUUCCUUGGAUGAAGAAUAUGACGAACCACUUUGCCCGUAUUGCGAAGUACCAGCUGUGUACGACAGUCGUGUAUUGAAUACCAAAAGAAAGUGUGGAUCACCUCUUAGAAAUUUAUCCAAACGACGGACUACCACAUUGCAACAGCAAAAAAUUCAGGGAACAGAUAAAUCGAAUGAAAAUUGUGAGGAGAAUUUUGAUUAAAAAAGAGCAAUACCUCAGCAGUUGUGAAAACAAUAAGGGUCAAUAAAUGAAUUCAUAACUCUAAGAAGAAACGCGGAUGACGGGAAGACAUGAAUAGUUUUCUUUUAAAGAGGCUACAGUUGUUUGAAUUUCAUUCUAAAUAAAAAUACGUUCAACAAUGAUCAUAUUGCGUACGCUUU